Long non-coding RNA from Danaus plexippus (monarch butterfly), 1450 nucleotides. RefSeq lists it as uncharacterized. Lineage: Eukaryota; Metazoa; Arthropoda; Insecta; Lepidoptera; Nymphalidae. The record is from RefSeq and is a predicted model, not a curated record. The transcript is spliced from 2 exons.
GACGGGCGCAUUCCCCGACGGGCCCUUCGGGCCCGAAUUAAAAUGGGUUGGUCAAAGGUGUACUCGCGAAAAUCUUAGAUAUCAUUAUUGUUAGGUUUUAUCAAAACCCGUCCAGUAGUGUAUUUAUUAGGGUAUAAAAAUUUAUAUAUAUAAAACACAAUACUAACUUUCAAUUAUAAUAUUGAUAGAAUCUACGCUUUAUCCUUAAACUACGGUAGAAAUUUUUAAAUUGAGUCAGUCUCAAGUCUCAACUACGGAUGCGACAAACUUAAAAAACCCUCCAUCAGAACCGACAAAAAGAAAAAGAGAAAAAAUGCUUCGGAAACUAGAUUCUUUCAAUUCAAUCGAUGUAUUAGUUACAUUUAUAAAUAAUAAACUCCACAAACGAAUCGGUAUUUCUCAAUACACAUUUAUUUCUGUCCAUUUCCUUAAUAUCAAUUUCAUUAUCAAGCCAACGCUGUUGUUGUUUUUUUUUUUUUAUUAUUUUGCACUCAAUUCCUUCCGAGGAAAAAUGUGCCGUGUUAUCGUUUUACAUCGAUGCUUUAAUAAAAACGCAUCAUAAAUAUUGUGAAAUGCAAAAUAGUUUUCCGUAACGGGUGCAAUGUUGCGUAGUUCAAAGAAUAAUAUUAUUUGCCCUGUGUUAUUAUUAUAUUCCAUCACGUGUCAUCGACAAUACUGGAUUCAGAACAAUCAUCGUUUUUCGGUCUCACGCACGAAGUCAACAUUAGCCCCAGUACUCUUGAGCUGAUGGAACAACUCACGGAUGAAGUGUUCGACCGUUCCAGAGGCGAUCGGCGUGUGCGUAGAUAUUUCGAUGCAUACGACACUCCUUUCAUUGGAUCUGGCAGAAGAACUAAUUAUAACUCUAAUUACGAUUGAUAUAUUAAGAAACUAAUGUGUUAAUAAAUUUUAUGAAACUAAAUCUAUAUCGUUCUUAUAAUAUUAUACUUACCUAUAAAUGAAUAUGUUUUUCUGAGCUUUUAUUGGAAAAUUUGCUAAGAAACUUUCUCAAAUAUCACUACUAUCUUAAUUUAUUUUUGUAUCGUCAAAUUGAAGACAAUUCAAUCCAUUCAUUCAUUCGCAGAAUGUACGAAUAUAAUUGAGGAUUUCAAUAUGAAAAAAAUGUUAAAUACAUUCAAUCAAUUUAUGUAUACCUAAAUAGAUUUUUGUUAUAAUAUUUUUAAGGUAUAUCGUCCUGAAGCGUCUACGAUAUUGUUAGGAACAUGUGUGUGGAAAUAAAAAAAAUAUUUUCGAUAGUCUGUAUAGCAAAGAGGAGCACUUUGAAAUGGUCAAAGGCCGUGUGUUUUAUUUUUCAUCUAGAUGGACCAAUUCGUAAAAAUAUGCUGUUAGCCUCAACGUGGAGCAUGUUGAAAAUAUUUUUUAAUCAUCUUCACUUCAGAUAAUUACUUGUAUUAAAAUUAAAGUCUCACAAUAAAUGACUAAACAUUUA